RNAcentral lists this ribosomal RNA (600 nucleotides) under Aneurinibacillus aneurinilyticus. Its description in RNAcentral is "bacterial SSU rRNA". It matches the Rfam family "Bacterial small subunit ribosomal RNA", at positions 28 to 619 of the family's 1533-position model. Lineage: Bacteria; Bacillati; Bacillota; Bacilli; Caryophanales; Paenibacillaceae. The record is from RNAcentral.
GUAGUACGCUGGCGGCGUGCCUAAUACAUGCAGUCGAGCGGACCAAAGAAGAGCUUGCUCUUCGGCGGUUAGCGGCGGACGGGUGAGUAACACGUAGGCAACCUGCCUGUACGACUGGGAUAACUCCGGGAAACCGGAGCUAAUACCGGAUACGUUUUUCAGACCGCAUGGUCUGAAAGAGAAAGACCUUUGGUCACGUACAGAUGGGCCUGCGGCGCAUUAGCUAGUUGGUGGGGUAACGGCCUACCAAGGCGACGAUGCGUAGCCGACCUGAGAGGGUGAUCGGCCACACUGGGACUGAGACACGGCCCAGACUCCUACGGGAGGCAGCAGUAGGGAAUCUUCCGCAAUGGACGAAAGUCUGACGGAGCAACGCCGCGUGAACGAUGAAGGUUUUCGGAUCGUAAAGUUCUGUUGUUAGGGAAGAACCGCCGGGAUGACCUCCCGGUCUGACGGUACCUAACGAGAGAGCCCCGGCUAACUACGUGCCAGCAGCCGCGGUAAUACGUAGGGGGCAAGCGUUGUCCGGAAUUAUGGGGCGUAAAGCGCGCGCAGGCGGCUUCUUAGGUCAGGUGUGAAAGCCCACGGCUCACCGGUGGA